This 252-nucleotide unclassified non-coding RNA is filed under the name Hevea brasiliensis (rubber tree). The record is from RNAcentral. Lineage: Eukaryota; Viridiplantae; Streptophyta; Magnoliopsida; Malpighiales; Euphorbiaceae.
AUUUUGAUUCUUCGUUUUAAAAAAUGUUAACCGUAUAAAAUCUCUUACCACUAAUCACUACAUUGGAAGCAUCUUCCCAAUUAGGAUGAUUGGGGACCAAGAAUGACUAUAGGGUGAAUAGGGUCUGGGAAAGAAACUGAUUCAUGAGUCAUGACCUUCUUUUGGGCUGGAUAAAAGCCGAAUGUUUGGACAUUUUGGCAAAAAAUUUACUGCGCCUUGAAAUGGCAAUGCUAAUUUGGAUCUUUGCUCUUG